CGGAGGGCUAGCGUUGUUCGGAAUUACUGGGCGUAAAGCGUACGUAGGCGGCUUUGUAAGUUAGAGGUGAAAGCCUGGUGCUCAACACCAGAACUGCCUUUAAGACUGCAUCGCUUGAAUCGCGGAGAGGUGAGUGGAAUUCCGAGUGUAGAGGUGAAAUUCGUAGAUAUUCGGAAGAACACCAGUGGCGAAGGCGGCUCACUGGACGCGUAUUGACGCUGAGGUACGAAAGCGUGGGGAGCAAACAGGAUU
Molecule: ribosomal RNA, 252 nt
Filed under: uncultured bacterium
Lineage: Bacteria
Description: partial 16S ribosomal RNA
Rfam family: Bacterial small subunit ribosomal RNA
Source: RNAcentral